GACGAACGCUGGCGGCGUGCCUAAUACAUGCAAGUUGAGCGCUGAAGGUUGGUACUUGUACCGACUGGAUGAGCAGCGAACGGGUGAGUAACGCGUGGGGAAUCUGCCUUUGAGCGGGGGACAACAUUUGGAAACGAAUGCUAAUACCGCAUAAAAACUUUAAACACAAGUUUUAAGUUUGAAAGAUGCAAUUGCAUCACUCAAAGAUGAUCCCGCGUUGUAUUAGCUAGUUGGUGAGGUAAAGGCUCACCAAGGCGAUGAUACAUAGCCGACCUGAGAGGGUGAUCGGCCACAUUGGGACUGAGACACGGCCCAAACUCCUACGGGAGGCAGCAGUAGGGAAUCUUCGGCAAUGGACGAAAGUCUGGCCGAGCAACGCCGCGUGAGUGAAGAAGGUUUUCGGAUCGUAAAACUCUGUUGGUAGAGAAGAACGUUGGUGAGAGUGGAAAGCUCAUCAAGUGACGGUAACUACCCAGAAAGGGACGGCUAACUACGUG
Molecule: ribosomal RNA, 497 nt
Filed under: uncultured bacterium
Lineage: Bacteria
Description: partial 16S ribosomal RNA
Rfam family: Bacterial small subunit ribosomal RNA
Source: RNAcentral